CAGUCGAGCGAGCUUGCCUAGAUGAUUUUAGUGCUUGCACUAAAUGAAACUAGAUACAAGCGAGCGGCGGACGGGUGAGUAACACGUGGGUAACCUGCCCAAGAGACUGGGAUAACACCUGGAAACAGAUGCUAAUACCGGAUAACAACACUAGACGCAUGUCUAGAGUUUGAAAGAUGGUUCUGCUAUCACUCUUGGAUGGACCUGCGGUGCAUUAGCUAGUUGGUAAGGUAACGGCUUACCAAGGCAAUGAUGCAUAGCCGAGUUGAGAGACUGAUCGGCCACAUUGGGACUGAGACACGGCCCAAACUCCUACGGGAGGCAGCAGUAGGGAAUCUUCCACAAUGGACGAAAGUCUGAUGGAGCAACGCCGCGUGAGUGAAGAAGGGUUUCGGCUCGUAAAGCUCUGUUGGUAGUGAAGAAAGAUAGAGGUAGUAACUGGCCUUUAUUUGACGGUAAUUACUUAGAAAGUCACGGCUAACUACGUGCCAGCAGCCGCGGUAAUACGUAGGUGGCAAGCGUUGUCCGGAUUUAUUGGGCGUAAAGCGAGUGCAGGCGGUUCAAUAAGUCUGAUGUGAAAGCCUUCGGCUCAACCGGAGAAUUGCAUCAGAAACUGUUGAACUUGAGUGCAGAAGAGGAGAGUGGAACUCCAUGUGUAGCGGUGGAAUGCGUAGAUAUAUGGAAGAACACCAGUGGCGAAGGCGGCUCUCUGGUCUGCAACUGACGCUGAGGCUCG
Molecule: ribosomal RNA, 736 nt
Filed under: uncultured bacterium
Lineage: Bacteria
Description: bacterial SSU rRNA
Rfam family: Bacterial small subunit ribosomal RNA
Source: RNAcentral